UUUAGCUCGAUCGGUUGAGCGUAAGACUAGUAAGCCAGAGAUCCUGGGUUUGAUCCCUAGCAGAGGCAGUGAUUUAAAUAUAAUUAAUCAUGCGCUGUGUUACACAUCUGUGAUGUCAAUACACUUGUCUGUGAUGAAAACGUUCUCUCUGAAUUAUGCCUGAAUCUCUGUUUAACCUAUACUCAAAAAUUUCAUAUAGAUUGUGGUGUACAUGACAGAUUCAGAUGUGAAACAUAUUAUGCUACUUUUAUAUUGGUCAACUGGCAUGGUGUUAUUCUUAAUUUAUGUAUGUAUGAAAAAUAUUCAACAUGAGAAAAUGGAAAACAUGGCAAAUGUUUUAAAGUCUAACUUGAAAUAUUUUCAUUUACAGGGCAUUGGUGAAUGUAUUCCUUUCCGGUAUAAAGCAAUGAUUUUUUUUUUAAUUUUAGGUUACCACAAAGGAAGCCAAUGUUUGAUUUGUAGGUUAGAAUACAAAUACUGAAUUCAAACACUCAGUUUUUGCAGUGACUAUGUCAAUAUCUUGUGAUCCAGCACAAGUGACAUGGUCUGUAUAUUGUACGAUGAAGAAAUGGGGUGUAUUUUCUGGAUUUUGUAUUGCAUGUAUCUCCUUUGAAUCACUGAUGCCGACACACACUACCUAUGAGAACCAUGAAAUCUGUAUUAUAUAAUACAUUUACACACACUACCUAUGAGAACCAUGAAAGCUGUAUUAUAUAAUACAUUUACACACACUACCUAUGAGAACCAUGAAAGCUGUAUUAUAUAAUACAUUUACACACACUACCUAUGAGAACCAUGAAAGCUGUAUUAUAUAAUACAUUUACACACACUACCUAUGAGAACCAUGAAAGCUGUAUUAUGAUGCAUAUAAAUCAUGGUCUAAGAUAACUGUUAUCAUUAAACAUUGUACGGUAAUAAUGUUUUGAGCAGUUGAAAAAUACAAAAUGGAAUUAAGAUAAAUCAUAAUCCAAGAUAACUAUACUUCAUAACAUGAUGGCAUGAUUAAGACGAUCUGACAGUUGGAGAGAAAAUGAAUUUGGAAAUUAUGUGGAUUAUGUAACAGGUUUACAGUAAAUCUGAGACGGAAGUGAAUGUACCAGUUGUGUGUGCCAUAUACUUAAUGAACAUAUUUAUAACCUUUUGGUGUACGUGCUUCUGAAUCAGUACUUAAUCAUUUUCAUGAAUUAGCUUUUUGACAUUUAUUGAAUAAUCUACAUAUGUAUUUUCUUUAUGAACAAUAAUGAGAUGAAUCAUUCAUUUACCAUGUCAGAUUUGAAAACAUACUUAAUGGUAAAUAUUCAAAUUUAAUGUGUCCCCGGAAGUAUUGUUUUGAACAAAUUUGAAAAAGUGAUGGUAUGACCGUUUUAACUUUAAAGCUAAGAUGUUUUCCCAUAUAC
This is a long non-coding RNA of Pecten maximus, 1397 nucleotides long. RefSeq lists it as uncharacterized. Lineage: Eukaryota; Metazoa; Mollusca; Bivalvia; Pectinida; Pectinidae. The transcript is spliced from 2 exons. The record is from RefSeq and is a predicted model, not a curated record.